This 482-nucleotide ribosomal RNA is filed under the name uncultured bacterium. Its description in RNAcentral is "partial 16S ribosomal RNA". It matches the Rfam family "Bacterial small subunit ribosomal RNA", at positions 30 to 507 of the family's 1533-position model. The record is from RNAcentral.
AUUGAACGCUGGCGGCAUGCCUUACACAUGCAAGUCGAACGGUAACAGGUCUUCGGAUGCUGACGAGUGGCGAACGGGUGAGUAAUACAUCGGAACGUGCCCAGACGUGGGGGAUAACGAGGCGAAAGCUUUGCUAAUACCGCAUACGAUCUAAGGAUGAAAGCAGGGGACCGCAAGGCCUUGCGCGUUUGGAGCGGCCGAUGGCAGAUUAGGUAGUUGGGGGGAUAAAAGCUUACCAAGCCGACGAUCUGUAGCGGGUCUGAGAGGACGACCAGCCACACUGGGACUGAGACACGGCCCAGACUCCUACGGGAGGCAGCAGUGGGGAAUUUUGGACAAUGGGCGAAAGCCUGAUCCAGCAAUGCCGCGUGCAGGAUGAAGGCCUUCGGGUUGUAAACUGCUUUUGUACGGAACGAAAAGGCUCUGGCUAAUACCUGGGGCACAUGACGGUACCGUAAGAAUAAGCACCGGCUAACUACGUG